Molecule: long non-coding RNA, 322 nt
Organism: Lycium ferocissimum
Lineage: Eukaryota; Viridiplantae; Streptophyta; Magnoliopsida; Solanales; Solanaceae
Exons: 2
Source: RefSeq, a predicted model, not a curated record
AUGUGCAUAUACUACUCCACGGUCAUUUAUCGUCGAUUUGUUGUUGCUUUUUCCUGUCUUGCUUUGUGGUCUAUUAUUUUUGCCAUUAUAUCUGUGUAACAUAAACUACAAUUCGGUGAAAUAAACAGGGUCGCUCUAAACCUAAAUAUUGCCAAAAUUUCUCAUGCUGCAGCCUCUUUUGGUAGGAAUUAUUGCAUAUAAACCGGUUAUUUUACUCAUGCGUGUUCUUUAUAUGGACAUUUGAGGCCAAGAGUUCAUUCUCUUGACUUGUACGGGAGAAAAUUUAAUUCCACGAGAGAUUGAACAAAAGACUGUUGAAUUA